CCUACGGGGAGCAGCAGUGAGGAAUUUUGGUCAAUGGACGAGAGUCUGAACCAGCCAAGUAGCGUGAAGGAUGACUGCCCUAUGGGUUGUAAACUUCUUUUAUAUGGGAAUAAAAUGUUCCACGUGUGGGAUUUUGUAUGUACCAUAUGAAUAAGGAUCGGCUAACUCCGUGACAGCAGCCGCGGUACUACGGAGGAUCCGAGCGUUAUCCGGAUUUAGUGGGUUUAAAGGGAGCGUAGGUGGAUUGUUAAGUCAGUUGUGAAAGUUUGCGGCUCAACCGUAAAAUGGCAGUUGAAACUGGCAGUCUUGAGUACAGUAGAGGUGGGCGGAAUUCGUGGUGUAGCGGUGAAAUGCUUAGAUAUCACGAAGAACUCCGAUUGCGAAGGCAGCUCACUGGACUGCAACUGACACUGAGGCUCGAAAGUGUGGGUAUCAAACAGGAUUAGAUACCCGGGUAGUC
This 460-nucleotide ribosomal RNA is filed under the name uncultured bacterium. RNAcentral describes it as "partial 16S ribosomal RNA". It matches the Rfam family "Bacterial small subunit ribosomal RNA", at positions 338 to 795 of the family's 1533-position model. The record is from RNAcentral.